AUGGGCUUGGAUUCCCUCUUCCUGAUGAGGCCUGCCAUGGGAUGGUUCAAAACUCAUGCCUUUGUGAUAAUGGCUAACCUGUUUCUCUUUGCACCAUACAUGUCAGAUUACAGAACCACUGUGAAGCGGCUCUACCUCUGCGGCAGCGGUGCGCACCCAGGCGGUGGGGAGCCCUGGCACACCGGCCACCUCAACCGCAACCGCAACGCUGCUGCCAUGGUUUUGGAUGAUCUCAAGGCAACAUAG
This 246-nucleotide ribosomal RNA is filed under the name Triticum aestivum (bread wheat). RNAcentral's name for it is "partial small subunit ribosomal RNA". The record is from RNAcentral. Lineage: Eukaryota; Viridiplantae; Streptophyta; Magnoliopsida; Poales; Poaceae.